GCCUGAUUUCUGGGACUACACACCAAUCUCUCUGGCUGACCAUGCAAUAGGUACACAGAGCAUUGUGGUGAAAAUCCAGCAAACAAAAGAAGAACUAUGUGGAAGCUGACAUUGUCUUGUUGUCAGCCAUAUUGCUACCCUUAGCCAUUUUAUGGAACAAAAUGCCUGGUGUCUAAACUGAUUUCGUUAUACUCUGUGAAAGACUUAUUCUAUUUUUCUGAACUAUGCUGAAUUAUUGAACUAUUUUUAUUUUUGUGGAGUUAGCCGGAGAGAGAGGAAGUGUUAGCUGACCCAGGGAUGGAUGUACUAUGUGUGUCUUUGAUAUAUGUUGAGUGUGCCAAGGAUGGAUUCCCAUGUUUUGAGGAACUGCAUGAGGAUAUGACUGGUUUUGACUGGACCUUUGGAAUAGGGAAAUGGUUAAAAGAUAUAGGACGCAAGGUCCUGGUUGUGAUUAUUGUCAGAAUUUCAAGCUAGAUUAUAAUUUAUCUCAUGAAUUAAUAUGUAAGACGUGUUUCCCAAUUCCUCCCGAUACUCGAGCUAUGUAUUCACAGGUGCGGGUAUUAUAAGUCACAAGUGGUGUCAACUGUGAAGGGAUGACAUGUCUAACACGAUCGCGGCCCCCACUCAGGUUUUCCCCAGAUGUGCUUUUUCCUCAAAUAUGAGUUUUUGCCACUGGGUUUUUGCUUGGCCCCAGAUCACCGGGUGGACUGGUAAUCCUAGACCGUGGACGAAGGAGGAAACAACUGUUGGGAAUAAUACACUUUGCUCAUAUUUACCCAGGGCUUAUGAUACAGAUGACCAGCUGGUUAGUCUGUUUAAAAUUGGUUAACAUGUCAGCUAUUUGCAAUAAUAUAUUUGCUAUAAGCCCAAGUUCCAUUUUGUCUUAAACAUCCAUUUUCUAUAUAUCUGUUUCUUGUAGACCACAUGAUUGUUUAGGAAUGCCAUAAUGUGGAAGUUUCUCUGUCCUGGGAGAAUGUUAACCGAUAAUAUGAGCAAGUUUUUGCUCAAAAAGGGGAAUGAAAGGAUAUGAAGUAGUUAGCUUUUCUUGUUCAUAUGUAUUUUAUGCUUAGAUAAGGUUUAUAAUCAUUAGUGCUGACUGUAAGGAAAAGAAAUAGUUAAACUCUUUUUGCUUUAUAUGCUUUAAAAUAAUGUUUGAAAUAAUUAUGCUGACUUUGGCAGAUGUAUUUUGUACCAAGGUCUUCCUUUUGGAGGAUGUGCGACCUUGCUAGAUCUCAGGAUGUUCCUGUUCUGUCUUUAUUCAAAUGCUUAUCUUCUACUGCUACAGAAGUAUAUACUAUUAACUGUAAGGAAGCGAUAAAACUCGCUGCUUGCGUGACAAACUGUGUAUAAAUGCUAGCCCUGAAAAUAUACUGAUUGAGACAUUUUGUUAAGCACA
Pelobates cultripes (western spadefoot toad) is the source of this 1396-nucleotide non-coding RNA. The record is from the annotation of a GenBank genome assembly. NCBI's taxonomy places the organism in Eukaryota, Metazoa, Chordata, Amphibia, Anura, Pelobatidae.